CAAAGGUUUGGUCCUAGCCUUAUUAUUAAUUAUUGCUAGUUCUACACAUGCAAGUUUCCGCUGUCCGGUGAGACAUGCCCUGAGAGCUCUAAUUUUUAAAGCCUACAGGAGUUGGUAUCAGGCACGCUUAAUGUGGCCCAUGACGCCUUGCCAAGCCACACCCCUACGGGCUGCAGCAGUGACUAACCUUGGGCCAUAAACGAAAGUUCGACCAGGCCAUAGUGAUUACGGGCUGGUAAAUUUCGUGCCAGCCACCGCGGUCAUACGAUUAGCCCAAAUUAAUAAUCAAACGGCGUAAAGCGUGUUUAAGCUCUACCAAUAAUAAAGUUAAUACUUGACUAGGCUGUAAAACGUAACAGUCAGGUAUAAAGUACACGACUAAAGUGACUUUAGCACAGCUGAACACACUACAGCUAAGACCCAAACUGGGAUUAGAUACCCCACUAUGCUUAGCCAUAAACCUAGAUAGCCUAUAAACAAGGCUAUUCGCCAGAGAACUACAAGCAAGCGCUUAAAACUCAAAAGACUUGGCGGUGCCCUAAACCCACCUAGAGGAGCCUGUUCUAUAAUCGAUAAACCCCGAUAAACCUUACCUUUUCUUGCCAAUACAGCCUAUAUACCGCCAUCGUCAGCUUACCCCAGUAGAGUAAAAGAGUAGGCGUAAUAAUUAACCAUAAAAACGUUAGGUCAAGGUGUAGCAGAUGAAAAGGCAAGCAAUGGGCUACAUUUUCUAAGUUAGAAAACACGAAUUAUCUUAUGAAAUCUAAGAUAUUGAAGGAGGAUUUAGCAGUAAAUUAAGAAUAGAGAGCUUGAUUGAAACAGGCGAUAGGGCGCGCACACACCGCCCGUCACUCUCCUCGAUAAGCACACAGACUUAAGUAAAACAAAUAAACAAUAAAGAGGAGAAAAGUCGUAACAUGGUAAGCGUACUGGAAAGUGCGCUUGGAACAC
This 951-nucleotide non-coding RNA is filed under the name Notoryctes caurinus. RNAcentral describes it as "12S ribosomal RNA". It matches the Rfam family "Bacterial small subunit ribosomal RNA". The record is from RNAcentral. Lineage: Eukaryota; Metazoa; Chordata; Mammalia; Notoryctemorphia; Notoryctidae.